This 497-nucleotide ribosomal RNA is filed under the name uncultured bacterium. RNAcentral describes it as "partial 16S ribosomal RNA". It matches the Rfam family "Bacterial small subunit ribosomal RNA", at positions 28 to 507 of the family's 1533-position model. The record is from RNAcentral.
GAUGAACGCUGGCGGCGUGCCUAAUACAUGCAAGUCGAGCGGACAGGUGAUGAGCUUGCUCCGCUGACGUGAGGGGAGCACGUGUGAGUCACACGUGUAUAAUGUACCUAUAAUACUGGGAUCAUUUCGGGAAAGGGGAUCUAAUACCGUAGAAUAUAUUGAAGCGCAGUGGGGGAUAGUAAAAGACGGCUGUGCUGGCACGAAUAGAUGGAUACGGGCUGCAUUAGAUAGUUGGUAAGUUAACGGGUUUUUAAGGCAACUAGGCGUAGCCGAGCGGAGUGGGGGGUCGGCCACCCUGGAACUGAGACACGGUCAAGACUCCUACGGGAGGCAGCAGUAGGGAAUCGUCCGCAGUGGGCGAAAGCCUGACGGAGCGACGCCGAGUGAGUGAUGAAAGUCUUCGGAUCGUAAAACUCUGUUACUAGGGAAGAACAAAUGUGUAAGUAACUAUGCACGGCUUGACGGUAACUAAUCAGAAAGCAACGGCUAACUACGUG